AUACAUGUGCACACUGACUUCUGCAUUAGUUCUUGAAUAAAGUUGCACCACAUUUGAGGUUACACUUCACUAUUGAGUGAUGUUUUUUGCAUACAUGCCAGAUUUUUUAGGUCCAAAGCGGGACAUUCCAUAAAAAAUUGUCGGGACAUUUGACCAAAAAGCAGGACACCUAAAACGAUCUAUCAUUCCACCUUUACUGUAGCCAGUAUAGUACUAGCAAAAACUCUUGAUACUUUUAUUCAAGACAUAAAACAUCUGAUAUGAAGCAUGAAAUCUAAAACAUAACAAUAAUAGUUUCAUUAUAUAAAACAAUAGCAAACAACGAAGAUAAUAUUCAUCUUUUUAGAGUAAAAAUCUGGAACAUUACGACAACAAUACUCAUUAUAUUUCUUUCAAUGGCAAACAUUAACGCAGGGGAGGCUAUCCAGUACUUUAAAAGUACGGGUUACAGUAAACUUACUUGUCAAUUGUCGCGGCUUAAUUGGAGUAGGGUCAAACUGUCAUGCAUAGCACCUCGUUGUUUUUACAAUUACACCCAAUUACACUAGACAGGAUGGGUAUCACUUAUUGGACUGUUUGUUGCGAUUUUGGUAUAUUGCACAUUCGGAUUAUCCCGCUAUUUUGGAACUUAACAUUAAAUGUAAAAGACUCAUUAAUGACGUAGAGUUAAUUUUUCAAAAUAAUUGUUUUGUAAACCGUUUCAAACAAAGACAAAAACAAACACAUUUUCAACAUUUAUUUCAUUAUUAUACAACUAUCGAUAGCAAUAAGCGACUACUAUCUUGAAGACCACCAUGGUGUGAAUGCCUGAUAAAAUCAAUAAUUAGCCGAUAAAUCGCUGAUAAGGUGUCAUAAACAACACUGGUACACACAAGAAGUAGAAUCAGAUUGUUAAUUGGGGGCAAUAAAGGGAUUGGCGGUGGUAAGUGUUAGCGAAACAGAGCUUGAAUAGCGAAUUUUAUUGGGAACCUAUAGACCUUGCAUCGUUUUUUACGAAUGUCGGGACAAAUCGUCUCAUAUCGGAACGCCGGGACAAAGGGCCCAAAAGCAGGACUGUCCCGCCGAGAUCGGGACGUCUGGCAUGUAUGGUUUUUUGUGGUACAUUUUCAUAUAAAUGUCUGCAUUGACUAUAAUUAAGUUGGAGAACAUUUAUGCUAGAAUGUUAACUGGUAAGUUAUUAAUCUUCUAAGCCAUGCACUCAUGGAUUUGGCUGUAUUAUGUUUGCUACCUUAAUGUUUGACAAAGUCUGAUAAUAUUUAGUUAUAUUUGACAGUGUAUUGGGUACCGAUAUUUUUUCCCUAACUUUUUAUGCCCCACUUCAAAGAAGAGGGGGUAUGUUGUUUUGCUGGAUGUUGAUCGGUCUGUCAGUCAGUCUGUCUUUCUGUCGGUAGACCCAUUUGUUUCUGAUCAAUAACUAGUCAACAAAUUGACCGAUUGGCUUGAUACUUCACAUAUGCACUAGCCUUGGACAGUAGAUGACCCCUAUUGAAAUUGGGGUCACUAAGUCAAAGAUCAAGUCACUGUCACAAUAAGUGUGACAAUUGUUUCCAAUCAAUAACUUGUCAACAAUUUGAAUGAUUGGCUUUAUACUUCACAUUGGAUUGACCUUGGACAGUACAUGACCCCUAGUGAAAUUGGUCCUGUGUGGGGGGCACAUGUCCACGACCGCGGAACUCUUGUUUAACAUAUUUUCUGUAAAAACUAAAAAUCACUCAAGGGUCUUUCAUUUUCUUAAAUAUUACUUUAUGUAUAUCAUUAUAAGAUUCAUAUAAUUACUGUGUACAUGUAUCUCAAUUUAUUCAAAUUUCAUUCAAAGAUUUAUGGAUUACAUUUAAUUCAGCAAAGAAUAUACAUUAAUUCUGCAUAAAUUAGUCAUAGAAGUUUCAAUCAUUUUUAGAAAAUGUUGUGGGGGUGGGUCUUUUAUUUUGGUGGGGACUGUUGUUAGUAAAUACUUAUGAAAUGUAUGUCAUUAAAGUCACUUGUUUAUGAACUGAUAUCAUGACAAUGCCUUUAUAUUGUCUAUGUUUUUCAUGUGUUAAGGAAUGAUUUUUGUGUUAUUUUCUAUGCUUUUCAUUGAAUUGAUUUUGUUUAUGUCUGCAUAUACUGUUUUAGACAAUGUACUCCCUUGUCAAAAAAUAACCCACUUUCAUACCAAAACACACUUAAACCAACAUAAAACUGUGUUUUUUCUGAGUUUUUCUUAGCGGAAGUUGGUUUUUGCUAAUAAAAGUGAGUUUUAUGUGCGCUAAACUGUGCUUAACUGAGUUUAAAGUUGGUUAUUUUAAGAAGAUGUGUGUUUAAGCGAGUUUUUUUCAGUAAGAAGUCGGUUUUUUGUGUGUCAAAAGUGAGCCUUUUUAUUUAUGAGUUGGUUUAUGUGUGUUUAAGUGUGUCUUUUUGUUUUAUAAGCGAGUCUUUUACAACAGAAGUUGGUCUUUUUUUAAACAGAAGUGGGUUUAAGCGAGUUUAACUUGGUCUUUUUGUAAAUAAGUUGAGAGCUGCAACGAGGCUUAAAGACUCACUUUAACACACUUUUCAACAAGUUGGUCUUUUGUUUAUUAAUAUAACUCAUCAAUGAAACAAUAAUUCUUCAACUGGGUCUUUGUUUGAUGUUUAUAGCCAUAAAUAAAACAAGUAAAUUGUAAAGGGGCUUUUUUUACAGCUUGUUUGCCAUUGUCCCUAUUGUACAUUUGUGUGCUCCCCAUAAUUUUUAGGGAAUAUUGGAUGAAAAUGGCUCUUUCAGAACAUCACAGGUUCACAGAUGGACAACAAGUAUCACUGACAAAAACUAACAAUGGUCAAGCUUAGUUUUAUACAUGAAAAUGAAAGAGUUUGUGUUUCACUUUGAAUUUUUUCUUUAUGUUUGUUUUUAUUAUAAACAAUAUCUUAUGAUUGUUUUAUGUCUUAAUUUUUUAAUUUUUUUUAAACAAUCUCAUAUGAUUGUUUAUAUUUGUUUAAAACAGUAUUUACUUGUAAAAUCUGCAUAUUUAAAUAAUUAUGGUAUUGGAAACAUUAUUUUGGAAAUAAUCUAUUUAUUUUUGUACAUAAGUUAUGCAAGAUUUUGAUAUUUGCAUAUGAUACCAUCAUAUCCAUUUUCUUAAUUUGGAAUAAAAUAAUAAAAUGCCAAACAUUACCUGUGUUACAUAAACUGUCAACAAAAUAACAAGACAAUACCUUAAAACACCCUUAUUUCACACCACUAACAAUAAACAGAUAACAAUCUGUCAGGCAUUCAGAGCUAAACAGGGUACUGAUUAUCUAGGGGUAGAUAAGGCUACUGAUGGGGUCCUAGAGAUAAGGCUGUGUGGAAUAAGAUAUAAGGCUUUUGAUUGGCUAUUGCACUGAGGAAGUUAUCUUUUUGAAAACAACAACUUUUGAAAAACAAGCUGGUGUCAGCAACUGAAUAUUGAGCUAAAUUUAAUUCAGCAACAUUAAUAUAAAGAAGUGAAAGACUUAUAAUGGUAGUGUAAAAUGUCUUGAAAUUCUGUCAGCAUGAAGUAUUGUGUGAUGAAAACAAUGUGUUUUUUACUGCAAGUGGAAAUCAAUAAUAAGUUGGUUGGAAAGGAGGUUGAACUGCCUGUUGUUGUUUUUGGAAUACUGGAGAACAGUUUUAACAGGUUUGUAUUGUCAUUUCUUCACCCCUUUUUUUAUUUAGUUUAUUGAAUUAAUUAUGAUCAUUAUCAUAUUUAUGUAUUGUCACUGGGAAAUGUAAAUGGAUAAGUUAUUGUAUUGCAAUUUAAAGGAUAAACAACACAUUUUGAAGCAAAAAUAGAUAAACUUACACAUGAAAAAGUGUAAAUGUUGUGUACAGUGAAUAAUUAUGGUUGUGUUUCAUGGUUAUUGUCAUCUAAAAUUUUAUUUAUAUCUAUUUCUGGUUAUUACUGAACGGAUUUCUUUCCCUCUUACUUAAUUAGAACUUAUAUAUUUUAAUUUUGAAGGUUAAACUCUUGCCACAAGGCAAAAUUGACAUCGUUGGGAAGAUCCUUUGGAAAGAAUGUGCAUCAUCGCCUGCCUGAUGUAUGGACUUUUAAACCUGGUUUUUACCCUGCACAAGCUGGCAAACUUGAGGGGAACAAGAGUGGGAAAACCUCGCCCUGUCCUUGACCAAGAAAGCUCGAUUUGUUGAGAGAUCAACUGGCAUAAGAGAUGCUCAAGAGGAGAAGGACACAAGCAGCAUCAAUGGAACAACUACAUGUCGCUCCAGCGCCCGCUUUCCAGGUCUCUACCAGCUGCUUUCCAGGUCCCUCCACCCGCCAAGAUCAGGUCUAGGUCCCUGCACUGGCUGCUUUCCAGGUCCCCUAGCGGUCAAGGUCUCUCCAGUAGCUGCUGUGCAGGUCCCAACACCGUAUGCCGUCAAGGUCCCUCCUUAAGCUGAAAUCCAGGUUCCUCAUUCCACUGCGGUUCAGGUACCUCCAACAGCUGAGAUCCAGGUCUCUGCAGCAGCUGCGGUCUAAAUACUCCACCCGCAGUGGUCCAUUGCGGUCAAACUUUUGCUUUAAAAUCUUCCAUAAAUGUCUAUUAUUUUAUAAUGUAUUGUAAAAAUAAUCUGUUAGUAUUAAUUUGCGGUGUACUAUUUUUGUCAUAUAAACAUAAUUUUCGUA
This is a long non-coding RNA of Dreissena polymorpha, 4598 nucleotides long. RefSeq lists it as uncharacterized. The transcript is spliced from 2 exons. The record is from RefSeq and is a predicted model, not a curated record. Lineage: Eukaryota; Metazoa; Mollusca; Bivalvia; Myida; Dreissenidae.